AUCCAGACUCCUACGGGAGGCAGCAGUGGGGGAUAUUGCACAAUGGGGGAAACCCUGAUGCAGCGACGCCGCGUGGGUGAAGAAGCGCCUCGGCGCGUAAAGCCCUGUCAGCAGGGAAGAAAAUGACGGUACCUGAGGAAGAAGCCCCGGCUAACUACGUGCCAGCAGCCGCGGUAAUACGUAGGGGGCAAGCGUUAUCCGGAUUUACUGGGUGUAAAGGGGGCGCAGACGGCAGCGCAAGCCAGGAGUGAAAGGCCGGGGCCCAACCCCGGGACUGCGCUUGGAACUGCGCGGCUGGAGUGCAGGAGGGGAAGGCGGAAUUCCUGGUGUAGCGGUGAAAGGCGUAGAUGUCAGGAGGAACACCGGUGGCAAAGGCGGCCUGCUGGACUGCGACUGACGUUGAGGCCCGAAAGCGUGGGGAGCAAACAGGAUUAGAUACCCUUGUAUU
This 448-nucleotide ribosomal RNA is filed under the name uncultured bacterium. RNAcentral describes it as "partial 16S ribosomal RNA". It matches the Rfam family "Bacterial small subunit ribosomal RNA", at positions 329 to 794 of the family's 1533-position model. The record is from RNAcentral.